GACGAACGCUGGCGGCGUGCUUAACACAUGCAAGUCGAACGGAAAGGCCCUGCUUUUGUUGCGUGCUCGAGUGGCGAACGGGUGAGUAACACGUGAGUAACCUGCCCUUGACUGUCGGAUAACUUCAGGAAACUCGGGCUAAUAUCGGAUAGGAGCUCCUGCAGCACGUGGGUGGUUGGAAAGUUUCGGCGGUUGGGUAUGGGCUCGCGGCUUAUCAGCUUGAUUGGGUGGUAGGGGUUUACCAAGGGUUUGACGGGUAGCCUACCUGAGCGGGUGAACGGCCUCAAUGGGCCUGAGAUACGGAGCAGACUCCUACGGGCGGCAGCAGUGGGGAAUAUUGCGCAAUGGGGGGAAGCCUGAGGCAGAAACGCCGGGUGCGGGAUGACGGCCUUCGGGUUGUAAACCGCUUUCGACGGUGACGAAGCGUGAGUGACGGUAAUGGGUAAGGAAGCACCGGCUAACUACGUG
This 468-nucleotide ribosomal RNA is filed under the name uncultured bacterium. Its description in RNAcentral is "partial 16S ribosomal RNA". It matches the Rfam family "Bacterial small subunit ribosomal RNA", at positions 28 to 507 of the family's 1533-position model. The record is from RNAcentral.